UUGGGCUGCGGAAGAUACUGUUGGGCUAGGGGGCGGGAGAGGUUGACGGUAUUCCCGGGGUAGGGGUGAAAUCCUAUAAUCCCGGGAGGACCACCAGUGGCGAAGGCUGUCGGCUAGAACGCGCUCGACAGUGAGGGACGAAAGCUGGGGGAGCGAACCGGAUUAGAUACCCGGGUAGUCCCAGCUGUAAACGAUGCGGGCUAGGUGUUGGGGUGGCUACGAGCCACCUCAGUGCCGCAGGGAAACCGUUAAGCCCGCCGCCUGGGAAGUACGGCCGCAAGGCUGAAACUUAAAGGAAUUGGCGGGGGAGCACCACAAGGCGUGAAGCUUGCGGUUUAAUUGGAGUCAACGCCGGGAACCUUACCGGGGGCGACAGCAGGAUGAAGGCCAGAUUGAAGGUCUUGCUGGACAAGCUGAGAGGAGGUGCAUGGCCGUCGCCAGUUCGUGCCGUGAGGUGUCCUGUUAAGUCAGGCAACGAUCGAGACCCGCACCCUUAGUUGCAACCUUUGCGGAAUCCGCAAGGGGCACACUACGGGAACUGCCGCCGAUAAGGUGGAGGAAGGAGCGGGCCACGGCAGGUCAGUAUGCCCCGAAUCCCCCGGGCCACACGCGAGCUGCAAUGGCAGGACAAUGGGUUCCAACCUUGAAAAGGGAAAGUAAUCCCCAAACCCUGCCUCAGUUGGGAUCGAGGGCUGCAACCCGCCCUCGUGAACAUGGAAUGCCUA
RNAcentral lists this ribosomal RNA (725 nucleotides) under uncultured crenarchaeote. RNAcentral's name for it is "bacterial SSU rRNA". It matches the Rfam family "Archaeal small subunit ribosomal RNA", at positions 566 to 1293 of the family's 1478-position model. The record is from RNAcentral. Lineage: Archaea; Thermoproteati; Thermoproteota.